GGACGGGUGAGGUAACGCGUGAGCAACCUGUCCCAGACAGGGGGAUAACACUUGGAAACAGGUGCUAAUACCGCAUAAGACCACGGGAUCACAGUGGUUCUGGGGGUAAAAAGGAGCAAUCCGGUUUGGGGUGGGCUCGCGUCCGAUUAGCCAGUUGGCGGGGUAACGGCCCACCAAAGCGACGAUCGGUAGCCGACCUGAGAGGGUGAACGGCCACAUUGGAACUGAGAGACGGUCCAAACUCCUACGGGAGGCAGCAGUGGGGAAUAUUGGGGCAAUGGGCGAAAGCCUAGACCCAGCAACGCCGCGUGAGUGAAGAAGGCCUUCGGGUUGUAAAGCUCUGUUAUAGUUGACGAAGGAAGUGACGGUAGGCUAUAAGGAAGCCCCGGCUAACUACGUGCCAGCCGCCGC
RNAcentral lists this ribosomal RNA (411 nucleotides) under uncultured bacterium. RNAcentral's name for it is "bacterial SSU rRNA". It matches the Rfam family "Bacterial small subunit ribosomal RNA", at positions 100 to 518 of the family's 1533-position model. The record is from RNAcentral.